Long non-coding RNA from Oncorhynchus keta (chum salmon), 2233 nucleotides. RefSeq lists it as uncharacterized. The transcript has 3 exons. NCBI's taxonomy places the organism in Eukaryota, Metazoa, Chordata, Actinopteri, Salmoniformes, Salmonidae. The record is from RefSeq and is a predicted model, not a curated record.
GGAUACCAGGGGUUAGAGGUCACAUAUCUGACAUGGACCAAUGGGGUUGGAGGAUACCAGGGAUUAAAUAAAAAAUGUAAUCAAAUCAAAUUGUAUUUGUCACAUGCGCCAAAUACAACAGGUGUAGUAGAACUUACAGUGAAAUGCUGAAUGCAAUAGGUGUAGAUAGACCUCACAGUGAAAUGCUGAAUACAACAGGUGUAGAUAGACCUCACAGUGAAAUGCUGAAUACAAUAGGUGUAGUAGACCUUACAGUGAAAUGCUGAAUACAACAGGUGUAGUAGACCUUACAGUGAAAUGCUGAAUACAACAGGUGUAGUAGACCUCACAGUGAAAUGCUGAAUACAACAGGUGUAGAUAGACCUCACAGUGAAAUGCUGAAUACAACAGGUGUAGAUAGACCUCACAGUGAAAUGCUGAAUACAACAGGUGUAGAUAGACCUCACAGUGAAAUGCUGAAUACAACAGGUGUAGAUAGACCUCACAGUGAAAUGCUGAAUACAACAGGUGUAGAUAGACCUCACAGUGAAAUGCUGAAUACAACAGGUGUAGAUAGACCUCACAGUGAAAUGCUGAAUACAACAGGUGUAGUAGACCUUACAGUGAAAUGCUGAAUACAACAGGUGUAGAUAGACCUCACAGUGAAAUGCUGAAUACAACAGGUGUAGUAGACCUUACAGUGAAAUGCUGAAUACAACAGGUGUAGUAGAACUUACAGUGAAAUGCUGAAUACAACAGGUGUAGUAGACCUUACAGUGAAAUGCUGAAUACAACAGGUGUAGUAGACCUUACAGUGAAAUGCUGAAUACAACAGGUGUAGAUAGACCUCACAGUGAAAUGCUGAAUACAACAGGUGUAGUAGACCUUACAGUGAAAUGCUGAAUACAACAGGUGUAGUAGACCUUACAGUGAAAUGCUGAAUACAACAGGUGUAGUAGACCUUACAGUGAAAUGCUGAAUACAACAUGUGUAGUAGAACUUACAGUGAAAUGCUGAAUACAAUAGGUGUAGUAGACCUUACAGUGAAAUGCUGAAUACAACAGGUGUAGUAGACCUUACAGUGAAAUGCUGAAUACAACAGGUGUAGUAGACCUUACAGUGAAAUGCUGAAUACAACAGGUGUAGUAGACCUUACAGUGAAAUGCUGAAUACAACAGGUGUAGUAGACCUUACAGUGAAAUGCUGAAUACAACAGGUGUAGUAGACCUUACAGUGAAAUGCUGAAUACAACAGGUGUAGUAGACCUUACAGUGAAAUGCUGAGUACAACAGGUGUAGUAGACCUUACAGUGAAAUGCUGAAUACAACAGGUGUAGUAGACCUUACAGUGAAAUGCUGAAUACAACAGGUGUGGUAGACCUCUGAAGGAAAGGAAGCCAGGUUAGACUAUUGGAACCCAGCCUCUGAAGGAAAGGAAGCAAGGUUAGACUAUAGGAAUCCAGACUCUGAAGGAAAGGAAGCCAGGUUAGACUAUAGGAACACAGCCUCUGAAGGAAAGGAAGCCAGGUUAGACUAUAGGAACCCAGCCUCUGAAGGAAAGGAAGCCAGGUUAGACUAUAGGAACCCAGCCUCUGAAGGAAAGGAAGCCAGGUUAGACUAUAGGAACCCAGCCUCUGAAGGAAAGGAAGCCAGGUUAGACUAUAGGAACCCAGACUCUGAAGGAAAGGAAGCCAGGUUAGACUAUAGGAACCCAGCCUCUGAAGGAAAGGAAGCCAGGUUAGACUAUAGGAACCCAGCCUCUGAAGGAAAGGAAGCCAGGUUAGACUAUUGGAACCCAGCCUCUGAAGGAAAGGAAGCCAGGUUAGACUAUAGGAACCCAGCCUCUGAAGGAAAGGAAGCCAGGUUAGACUAUAGGAACCCAGCCUCUGAAGGAAAGGAAGCCAGGUUAGACUAUUGGAACUCAGCCUCUGAAGGAAAGGAAGCCAGGUUAGACUAUUGGAACCCAGCCUCUGAAGGAAAGGAAGCCAGGUUAGACUAUUGGAACUCAGCCUCUGAAGGAAAGGAAGCCAGGUUAGACUAUUGGAACUCAGCCUCUGAAGGAAAGGAAGCCAGGUUAGACUAUUGGAACCCAGCCUCUGAAGGAAAGGAAGCCAGGUUAGACUAUUGGAACCUGUUAGAGAACAGUCUGCUUCCUCAGAGAAGACACUUCCUGUUGUCUGUGAGUCAUGACAGACUGUUCAGAGCAUGGAGACACAUAUACACACACACACACACACACACACACACACACACAC